UGGGAUAGCUCAGCUGGUAGAGCAUCUCCAUGGUAAGGAGAAGGUCGUGGGUUCGAUUCCCAUUCCC
Molecule: transfer RNA, 67 nt
Filed under: human gut metagenome
Rfam family: tRNA
About the family: Transfer RNA (tRNA) molecules are approximately 80 nucleotides in length. Their secondary structure includes four short double-helical elements and three loops (D, anti-codon, and T loops).
Source: RNAcentral